AGUGAACGCUGGCGGUAGGCCUAACACAUGCAAGUCGAACGGCAGCACAGUAAGAGCUUGCUCUUACGGGUGGCGAGUGGCGGACGGGAGAGGAAUACAUCGGAAUCUACUUUUUCGUGGGGGAUAACGUAGGGAAAGUUACGCUAAUACCGCAUACGACCUACGGGUGAAAGCAGGGGAUCUUCGGACCUUGCGCGAUUGAAUGAGCCGAUGUCGGAUUAGCUAGUUGGCGGGGUAAAGGCCCACCAAGGCGGCGAUACGUAGCUGGUCUGAGAGGAUGGUCAGCCGCACUGGAGCUGAGACACGGUCCCGACUCCUACGGGAGGCAGCAGUGGGGAAUAUUGGACAAUGGGCGCAAGCCUGAUCCAGCCAUACCGCGUGGGUUAAGAAGGCCUUCGGGUUGUAAAGCCCUUUUGUUGGGAAAGAAAAGCAGCAGGUUAAUACCCCGCUGUUCUGACGGUACCCAAAGAAUAAGCACCGGCUAACUUCGUG
RNAcentral lists this ribosomal RNA (492 nucleotides) under uncultured bacterium. RNAcentral describes it as "partial 16S ribosomal RNA". It matches the Rfam family "Bacterial small subunit ribosomal RNA", at positions 29 to 507 of the family's 1533-position model. The record is from RNAcentral.